This 1418-nucleotide ribosomal RNA is filed under the name uncultured bacterium. RNAcentral's name for it is "bacterial SSU rRNA". It matches the Rfam family "Bacterial small subunit ribosomal RNA". The record is from RNAcentral.
AGAGUUUGAUCCUGGCUCAGGAUGAACGCUGGCGGCGUGCUUAACACAUGCAAGUCGAGCGAAGCACUUGAGUUUGAUUCUUCGGAUGAAGACUUUUGUGACUGAGCGGCGGACGGGUGAGUAACGCGUGGGUAACCUGCCUCAUACAGGGGGAUAACAGUUAGAAAUGACUGCUAAUACCGCAUAAGACCACGGUACCGCAUGGUACAGUGGUAAAAACUCCGGUGGUAUGAGAUGGACCCGCGUCUGAUUAGGUAGUUGGUGGGGUAACGGCCUACCAAGCCGACGAUCAGUAGCCGACCUGAGAGGGUGACCGGCCACAUUGGGACUGAGACACGGCCCAGACUCCUACGGGAGGCAGCAGUGGGGAAUAUUGCACAAUGGAGGAAACUCUGAUGCAGCGACGCCGCGUGAAGGAUGAAGUAUUUCGGUAUGUAAACUUCUAUCAGCAGGGAAGAAAAUGACGGUACCUGACUAAGAAGCCCCGGCUAACUACGUGCCAGCAGCCGCGGUAAUACGUAGGGGGCAAGCGUUAUCCGGAUUUACUGGGUGUAAAGGGAGCGUAGACGGCACGGCAAGCCAGAUGUGAAAGCCCGGGGCUCAACCCCGGGACUGCAUUUGGAACUGCUGAGCUAGAGUGUCGGAGAGGCAAGUGGAAUUCCUAGUGUAGCGGUGAAAUGCGUAGAUAUUAAGGAGGAACACCAGGUGGCCGAAGGCUGGCUUGGCUGGACGAUGACUUGACGGUUGAGGCUCCGAAAGCGUGGGGGAGCAAACAAGGAUUAGAUACCCUUGGUAGUCCACGCCCGUAGACGAUGGAUACUAAAGUGGUCGGAAGUUAUUCCGGGGGCUGGAAGUUAACACCAUUAAAGUAUCCCCACCCUGAAGUUAGUACCCGUUCCGCAAAGGCUGGAAACUCCAAAGGGAAUUUGACUGGGCACCCCGCCACAACCCGGUGGAGCAUGCUGUUUAAUUCGAAGAUACGCGAAGAACCUUACCUGGGCUUGACAUCCCGCUGACCGUCUUGGAAACAAGAUUUUCCCUUCGGGGACAGCGGUGACAGGUGGUGCAUGGUUGUCGUCAGCUCGUGUCGUGAGAUGUUCGGUUAAGUCCGAUAACGAGCGCAACCCCUAUCUUUAAUUGCUAACAUUAAGUUGAGAACCUUAAAGAUACUGCCGGUGACAAACCGGAGGAAGGUGGGGAUGACGUCAAAUCAUCAUGCCCCUUACGUCCAGGGCUACAGGCGUGCUACAAUGGCUGGUAUAAUAAGAUGCGAUACCGUGAGGUGGAGCAAAUCUCUAAAGCCAGUCCCAGUCCGGAUUGGAGUCUGCAACUCGACUCCAUGAAGUUGGAAUCGCUAGUAAUCCCGAAUCAGAAUGUCGGGGUGAAUACGUUCCCGGGUGUUGUACACACCGCCCGUC